CAGUUCGGAUUGUAGGCUGCAACUCGCCUACAUGAAGUCGGAAUCGCUAGUAAUCGCGGAUCAGCAUGCCGCGGUGAAUACGUUCCCGGGCCUUGUACACACCGCUCGUCAAGCCAUGGGAGCCGGGGGUACCUGAAGUGCGUAACCGCGAGGAGCGCCCUAGGGUAAAACUGGUGACUGGGGCUAAGUCGUAACAAGGUAGC
RNAcentral lists this ribosomal RNA (203 nucleotides) under uncultured bacterium. RNAcentral's name for it is "partial 16S ribosomal RNA". It matches the Rfam family "Bacterial small subunit ribosomal RNA", at positions 1289 to 1500 of the family's 1533-position model. The record is from RNAcentral.